This is a long non-coding RNA of Agrilus planipennis (emerald ash borer), 2738 nucleotides long. RefSeq lists it as uncharacterized. Lineage: Eukaryota; Metazoa; Arthropoda; Insecta; Coleoptera; Buprestidae. The record is from RefSeq and is a predicted model, not a curated record. The transcript is spliced from 3 exons.
GAUCUUUCAAAUAAAUUAUUUGAUUGUGAUAAUUAUUUUGAAUAUUUCGCAUAUAAAAAUUUGAAAUAGUACUAGGUUCUAUAUCUAGGUCCCUUAGGUACUCAUCAUCUUCAGUGAUUGAAAAUUUUUUUUUGAAAAUCUUCAAAUAGGUAAGUGACGUAUUUUGAGCAUAUUAACAUGCGACGAUCGUUUCUAUGCCAUAAGUGCUUAUAUUUAAAAACUGAUACAAACGGAAAAGUUGAAAAAAUAAGAAAAAAAAAAAACUUAAGGACUGAAUAAAAGAAAACUUAUGAUUAUACAUCUGAUUGUGACAAAAAUAAUAAGUUAUAUGAUUUCGCCCUACAUGGUGAACACCUACAUUCUCUAACUAAUUAUAUGAUUAAAAUACGAAAUGUGCUUAGUUGAUGUACAUAUUGAGGUUCUUAAACAUUUUUCAGAAUCCAGUGGUUCUAUGUAAUUUUUCUAGAAUUAACAUUUUCUUUGUGCUUAAGAUUAUUAGGAACUGUUAAAAUAUUUCAAUGUGAAAUGCGUUAAAUCCGUUACGUUAGUAUAAAUACCCACAUCAUUUGGCUGGAAUGAUGUCAAGAUCGUUUUGUAUUUAGUACCAAUUUCCCACCCCUUGUCGCUGACUUUAUGUGAAUUUUGACGGUCCUUUUCAUAACUUUCAUUUCGGGUUUUAAAAGCCUAAAAUCAAAGCAGUCAUUCUCUUUCAGGCAUCGUGGGACCAAAAUUUGACAACUGCAUUUGUGUAGGUUUUCAUUUGCAGUUGUCAUCUUAGUCAUUGACUUCGGUCAAUUGACGAUUUUUUGUGGACUACAACCUUAGGUUUCACGACCUAAAACCGUAGUCCUGACCUUGACCAGCAAUGGUCGAGGGAAACUCAAUCAAGUUAGUACCAAUUUCCCAUCCUUUGUCGCUGACUUUAUGCCAGUUUUGACGUUGCUCCCAGAGCUUUUAUUUUGGGUUUCAAAAACCUAAAAUCAAAGCAGUCAUUCUUUUUCAGGCAUCGUGGGACCAAAAUUUGACAACUGCAUUUGUGUAGGUUUUCAUUUGCAGUUGUCAUCUAAGUCAUUGAUUUCGGUCAAUUGACGAUUUUUUGUGGACUACAACCUUAGGUUUCACGACCUAAAACCGUAGUCCUGCCUUGACCAGCAAUGGUCGAGGGAUUUAAUUUAAAUUAGUGCCAAACUCCCUACCCGAUGUCGUUGACUUUGGUCAGCUUUGACGUUCCUUUCCUAAAGCUAAGAUUUUGGACUUUUAAAACCUAAAAUCAUGUUGAUCAAUUUCGGGCAUCGUGGGAAAGCCCUGACUUGCGACUGUCAUCGCAGUUAUUGACUUUGUGCCAACUACUAACGGCUUUUUUGAGAAUGUAUAAGUGUGGUUCACCCCUUAUUAGUAAUGGUCGAGGAAACUCUGAUUUAAGUUUCCCUCGCCUUGUUAUUGAUUUCAUGCCAGCUUUGAUGUUUCUUCCCCAAAUGUAUGAGUUUAGAUAUUAAUCUUAAUAUUGUUGCAUUAUUGCAGGUAUUACAUACCUAUUGUUUGAUUUUUAUGUGCAUAAUGAAGUGCCUUUUUAUGUAACGAUAUUUCUGUGUAGAUAUCGAUGGGGAUGUUUUCUUAUUAAACUGGACAUCAGCCUGUAUUCUUCGUAUUGGAGCAACUUUUUGAAAUGCCUGAACUACGUCGUGGUAAUUACAAGGGUAACAACCAAGUUGUCAUAAAAUUAUGUAUAAAAUACGCUUUCUGUAUAAAUUAUUUAUUAACAAUUUUCAUGUGAAAUGGUCAAUUGAAAGCGUAUUUUUUACUUAAUUAAACGAUAUUUCUCUGUAGAUAUCGAUGGUGAUGUGUUUGCUUACUAAACUGGACAUCAGCUUGUAUUCUUCGUAACGGAGCAAGUUUUUGAAGUGCCUGAACUACGUCGUGGUAAUGACAAGGGUAACAACCAAGUCGUCAUAAAAUUGAGUAUAAAAUACGCUUUCUAUGUAAAUUAUUUAUUAACAUAUUUCAUAUCAAAUGGUCAAUUGAAAGCUUAUUUUUUACUUAAUUUUGUCUUUCAAUGAGAAAUUGGGUCCAGUCCAACUUUCCUUCAAGUUCUGGAGUUCAGAGUAUUGGUGCAAUUAAAAGUGGAAUAUUCUUGACACUGAUAAGUUAUCUUUUUCCUAUUAACUUGGUUAAUGAAAUACUUAUUUUAAAAAUAAUCUCUUUUUAACUUCUAAACAUGCAAUUAUUGAACAAAAUAAUUUUAGAAUGAAGCCGAUCCAGAUCCUGCCUGUAUGCCACAGCUCCUCCUAAAGAGAUAAAAUGGGAAGAUGUGUCGGGACAACAGGGAGCAAUCACCAUCUGGACCUUUUUUAGUUGUGUUAUUGUAAUGUUCAGGUAUAUGAUUACUGCUUAGAGUGCUAAAUAUUCGUUAAAAGAUGAAUUAUCCUUAUUUAGUAAAUUAUUUUUGUAUUUAAAGAUUUAAUUAGUUAAAUUCAUUUUGUUUGUUGUAUUCAAAAUUAACUUUAAGCAUUAGUUUAAGAUAUUCGUGUAUUUAUUUAAUAAAAUUGACGUAAUCUGUUUACUAACUUAGUAUAAGCCUUAGCGUAAUUUAAUUUUAAAUAAAUUAAGUAGUUCGUAAUAAUUAGUGUAAGAUGUUUCUGUAUUUAAUAAAAUUGAGGUAAUCUUGUUGCUUACUUAGUAUAAGCCUUAGAGUAAUAUAAUUUUAGAUAGAUUAAGUAGCUAGUACUAAUUAGUUUAAG